GGGCGGCUGCGGAGGCAAGGCGGUGGGCCCAGGGCCGCGGCAGCGGAGCCCAGCGAGACGGUGGGCCCAGCAAGGUGGCGGCAGCCCCGGCCAUGAGCGGGGCGAGGCGGCGGGCCCAGCAUGAUGGUGGCGGGCCAGGCCGUGGUGGCGGGGCCCAGCGAGCGGCGGGCCCAGCAAGGCGGGGUGAGGCGGCGGGGCCGGGCCCGGCCGCGGAGGCGAGGCGGCGGGCCUGAUGGCGGCACUCUGGGGCCGGCUAGGCCCGCUGGCGGCGGCAGCUGCACUCUGCCCCGCCGGAGACGGGGGGCGGGAGGAGAGAGAGAGGUAGCCUGGCCUGGCCGGGCCCGGCCGCGGAAGCGAGGCGGUGGGACUGGCCGGGCCGCGUAGGCGAGGUGGCGGCGGCUGCACUCGGCCCCCGCAGGGCGGCGGCGGCCGCACGGGUCAGCUAGUUUACUAUUAUUUGUUGUUAUAAGCAACUUCCAAAGGAGACAAAGGAUAUAGAAAAUAUCCAUGGUUGAUAUUAGAUUAAUGUUGUGUGCACUUGAAAAACACUGGGUAUGUGCAAUGGAGGAGGGGUGAUUUUUGUCUAUCUCCCCUUUCUUCUGUAGUCCACUGUGCCUCCUGAAAAUAUGUCUGUGACUGUGAGGGUUGUGCGAAGGACUUCCUUCUGCUUUUUCUGUCAUGUCACUCUCUUCUAGUGCAAACCCUAAUCAACAAAUGGCUUUACAGCAGAGUUCCAGGAUCAUUUUGAGAAGAAAAAUAAGCUGACAGUUUCUCCCUGUUAUCAAUUUUCAUCGUGCCAACUAUCAAAAAGAAGACAGACUGGUAUUGAUAACAAAAUGCUAAGGUGUAAGAUACCUGAUAAACACUUUGUCCUUCUGCUAAAAGACAAGAGAUGUCUCAAAUGGCAUUUGGAAGGAUCUUCUGCUGAAGAUAAUGCAGCCAUUUUUGGUUGAUCAAUCCCAGGUUUGGACAAUGAUGACAAAUGGAGAAGAGACACAAGAAAAGAGAUAAAAGAGAAGGCAAGUAAGCUCAACAAUUAAAACAGCACUGCAUAGAAUUACGUUGCAUAUGGUAGCAAAGAGCAGGUUGCAUUCAAGAUAGAAGAUUAUUAAUAGAAUUAAUUAAAAAUUAACUUUACGUUGCUGCUAAAUUUUUUAGAUGGCAUGCUUCUUUGAAUAUUUUAUCCCAAACUAGACAUUUUGACCAUGCUGUUGUAUGCUGGCAGUUAGGGUGCAGAUGGUUAGGGUUGAGUUAGGACACACAACUCAAACCUACAGACUUUAGGCUUGUAGCUUCCUUUUAAAGUAAAGGAACUUGCAUUAUGUACAGUUACAAUCAAUCUAAAUAGGUCUGCUCUUUUACCAGCAGAAGUUCCCUUGCCUGCUUGGGCUGGGAAGUUUGCAGCGCUGGCCCUCCUUCACUCUGGCCUUGAGUAGCAGAGUUCCAUCUUCUGCUGAUCUUGUUGCUGCUACUACAGCCACGGUCUGAGUGCCCUGACAAGCUUCAGCUGUGUGUGGGCUGUUCCAGCUGCCAGGCUCCUGAAGUCCACGUGAGAGGUGGGGUCUGGGGGCUUUGGCCUAAAUAGGGAUCAGGGCUAGCCGGAGGCACAGCCGCUGGCGCAGGCCAUCUUCAGGUGGCCGCCAAAGGGGGUCAACCUUUGGUGGUGGCCUUUGGGGGUGGGACUGAGGGCUGGGGCCAACAUUUUUGAAUAAUUGGAAAGAAGAGCCCUGCUCACCUCAUUGCUGUUUAGUUUUUAGUUAGGCUUGAUACAGGUGUGUGUUUUGGGUUGAACAGAGAUGGGGAGGUUGUUGGGGACCCCCCCUGACCCCAACAUUAAACCCAGAGCCACCAACCCAGAAUUAUAUGAAACCCAGGCAGAGGCGUAACUAGGGAAAAUGGCGCCUAGGGCAAGCACUGAAAUUGCACCUCUGUCCAAACAGGAAUGAUGGGACUUGUAGUCAACAAUAUCUGGAAAUCCCUGUUAAAAGGAACACUGUACCAUCUAGACAUGGUUGUUGAUCAAAACCUGAAAACAUGAGCCAUCUCUUUAAAAGACUUAGAACAACAGUCAGGAGUUAUGUGAGGAUUCCAAGUGUCAUUUUCUCUGUCUCAUCUCAUUCUUUUUUAAAAAAACAUGACUUUGUCCUAGAGGAUCACCUGCCCAAAUAGCCACUAGCAAAAUAGAGGGAAAAGAAGGUGUGUGUGUGUGGGGGGAGGGUGUCUAUAAACCAGUGAAUGAUUCCUGCUAGCCUUUGUCUUAUGAUGACUGUUGGCUCAUGAUGGGGUGGGUAUAUGUGCAUUCACCACACCAGUGCUUCCUUUGACACCAAGAGGGAGGGGGAUACAUUAGUUUGCCACACUAGACAGAGGCAUUUGCAACAGGAGCAGACAGCCAAGUUCUGCCAGGGCCAAAACUAGCCCCUGCCAGACUAAGAAAUCAUUGUAAUUUGCCCCUUCCUGUCACAAGCAGUGUGCUGUUCUUUUAUUAUUGACUCUAACUCUCAAAUAUCCCAGUCAUGGAUGGAAAAUUCAGGGUCAAUUGACAAGAGACACAUUUUCUACAUGGAAGUUUCUUCUGUGCAGGUGUUGUGCAGAAACCCAUGUGUAGUGACCGCCAGGGGCAUAGCAAAGUUGGAAUGGGCCAAGAUGAGAUUUUAAAAUGCCCCCCCCCUCAAAGUUCAGGACCUCACACAUCCUAGGCCCCCAAGGAUUUAAGUCUGAUAUUUCAAAAUAAGUAUGCUUCCUGGAAAUACAUUUCACUGAAUACACACAUGCACACUUCACAGUAUAUAGUGAUAUACAUUGCGUACUACGUAUAUAUUUGUGCUACUUUUAAUGCCUAGAACACACUAGCAACGCUAAUUAUUAAAAUGGCCCCCUCGCUGCAGAUUAGCAAAGGAGACCUUCAACCAUGCAGGGUGAGCCUAUGUUUGUUUUCUCAGAAUUCUGAACAAAUUCAGUAAAGUUUGAUUCCUGGAGGUUUUUCACACGAGGCUUUUAAAGCCCUUUAACACACAUCUCCUCUGGAAUGGAGGUGCUGCAUUCACAUGUUGGCCAGAUUUACCCUGAAGUCCCUGCAAGUUAUUGGAGAGCAGUUCACACACAAGAAAAAUAAAAUAAAAGGACAACACAUGCUUCACAGUUCUCACUCAGACCUUCUGGGUUGCAAAACAACUUGAGCAUAAGUGCAUUUAUAAAUGAAUGAAAGAAAGAAAGAAAGAAAGAAUAAAUAUUUGUUCCAGACGUUUUUGUAAUUUUCUGACAUGAAACAAGCCACUUAUAGGCCUUUUUAGAUAGUUUUUGUUUUUAAAGCCAGCACAUUUUUCAGUCUGUUUUAAAUUAAAUAUUCAGAGACUUCUCAGUCUCGCCCCACCACCCAUAUCAAAGCCCUAUGGCAAGCCAAUCCCUAUAUAUGGGGGUAACCACAAAAAGGAAUUCACAGCCUACCUUGCAAAAGCUGUGCUGGAGGGUCUGGUCUGCUGCAGGGAGGGUCUGCUGCAGGGAGCUCUGCCAGCCUCCUUCCUGGCUUGCUGGGGCCUGCCGAGUUCAGGCUUCAGGGAGGCCUACUCGGAGGCCUCUCUGGAAGCCCCGCCCACCCGCCGAUCAGCUGAGAGGCAGGGAGAGAAGAGCUCUGCAGUUUGCAGGCUGCUCCAAUCCUAGGCCUCCUUGCCGAUCCUAGGCCGGAGCUGGAGGCAAGUGGCUGAGGGGCCCUGGAGCUGGGCAGGUGGGCAAUGGGGUGGGGGUGGCAGGAACUGGCAUGGUGCCCCCACCUCAGUGGCACCUAGGGCAUGUGCCCUGCCCGCCCCCCCCCAGUUCUGCCUAUGAACCCAGGCCUGUGUCUGAUUCCAUUUUAUAAGAGUUCAAUUAAAUGCCUGAACUCAAGGUGAACUGACACCCAGAUCUCAGGACUGCCUCAUGAACUGCUCUGUGAAGGAAGAGGCAAUCCAGCAUUGUAUUGUGAAAUGGGCUAUCAAUAUGCUAAAAUGUAACUCACUAUCAGAUGAUGUCUGUGGAAGAGGCCAGAGGCUGAUCUUCCCCUUCCUGUUGCAAGAAGUCUAUGUUAAUCCUUGUCAGUGAUUGCUCUGCUAUACUCAAUUGCUCUCUAUAGAAAUUCCACUCUAGGUAAAUGCACACAAGGAAAACACCUGUAGAUUUAGUCCUUUUACUAACACCUUCCGGGACAAGGCCCAAAUCUGGGGACAAGAGAAGAGGCCCAUUUGCAGCUCAGAGAUGCAGAUUUGCUUUGGGCAAUGUCCUCUCCUCAAGAUAGCAGCUAACAGAAGAUGGGAUUAAGUAUCUCCCUGGACUGGGCUAAUAUCCUGACUAAUCAAAAGACAAUGUCCAGCAGGUAACAGCAUUGUCACCUUUUUGGGACCCAGGAAAGAUGAGGAGAUAUUGAAUAGACUCUAUGGGAGAUCAAAGGAAGAUACAACUAUAAAGAAUGAGGCUUACUGGACAGAGAGCUAGCAGUCUUUUGCCUACCAGCAGUCUUUUGCCUACACGCAGCAAUCUUGCCUAACAAGCAUACUUGCUCAAGAGCCAUCCCAGAGUUUGCUGCUAAGCCACGGGGCAACAAGCAGGAACUCUGUCCAUGGACAGGAACUCUGUGACUUCUGCUGCGCAGUGAGAAGUCAAGACUUCCCCAACCAUGGUGCUCUGACUCUCAGCCUUGCCCUGAGCAAACUGCAUGCUUGAUCAUCGCUCUAAAAAGCUCCUGUCUCCAGCCAGAGCCUCGCUCCUUCAGCUGAAAGCCCCACUGCUCUCAAGCCUCUCAAGCUGGUAAUAUGCUGCCUUCACAAGCCUUGGAUCCCUCUUCCCUCCUUUCUACUAGUCACUGCCAUCCCUCUCCUAAGCCCUCCGUCCUUCCUUCUUCUCUCUAAAUGUUUUAUUAGGAUUUGUUGAUUAUUAGAUGGCUGUAAUUACUGAUUGCACACACAUAUGUUAGUUAGGCACAUUACACUACACUUUGAAUCGGAAACAUGUUUUUUUUAAUGUGGAUUAUUUUAUCCUGAUGAGCAACUUUCUAUAAUAAAGCCCACUGAACUUUC
Long non-coding RNA from Hemicordylus capensis (graceful crag lizard), 5048 nucleotides. RefSeq lists it as uncharacterized. NCBI's taxonomy places the organism in Eukaryota, Metazoa, Chordata, Lepidosauria, Squamata, Cordylidae. The record is from RefSeq and is a predicted model, not a curated record. The transcript is spliced from 3 exons.